Long non-coding RNA from Nicotiana attenuata, 716 nucleotides. RefSeq lists it as uncharacterized. NCBI's taxonomy places the organism in Eukaryota, Viridiplantae, Streptophyta, Magnoliopsida, Solanales, Solanaceae. The record is from RefSeq and is a predicted model, not a curated record. The transcript has 2 exons.
UCAUUAGGUUUUUCGUUUUGCCCACCUACGCCGUAAUCUACAUAGACACUACCACUUCCUGUGCCGAAUUUUCCUCCACCCUAAAAUUUGCAGCGACGUCUCAUUUUCUUUCUGAAAUGUGCUAUUAUAUAUGCCAAUAUUUGCUUCAGUGAAAUUCAACGAAUCAAAAAAAAAUCUCAAUAGUAUCAAAGUUCAAACACAGAGUUCAUUCGGGUGUGGUCAUGAAUGUCAAUUGAAAACUUCAUGAUCUCCAUCUAAUCCUGGAAGGAGGUUCUAUGGAUGCAAAAUUGAAAAGGUAAGUGACAAUUAACUACAAUUAAUUAAUUUUUAGUCCUGUUGUUUUUUUCGAGUUUAGUUUAAAUGAUUUUUUUUAAGGACAAAGGUGGAUGUAAUUAUUUUAAGUGGGUUGACGACGAGUUUCCUAGCCAAGCGAAUAGAGUUAUUUGGGGUUUACUGAAUAGGGUCAAAGCUUUUGAAGAAGAAUGGGAUCGAGCAAGAACAACGAAGAAGAAAUUGGCUUCUAUUACAGUAACGAUGUUGAUUAUUUGGGUUUGCUACUGUGUCGUUAAUCAUUGAAGUUGUUGUGGUUUUGUUGGUGGUUGGAGUAUUUUGUGGGCAGUUUGUAAUAGUGCUAGAUAUAUUUUGGGUGUAUCUAGUUUGUUUGGAUGUAAUUGUGGCCUAUGGCCUUACUUCAAUGAAAUGAAACAAGUUCUGCA